GCAUGAACCACUGGGCCUAAAGUGAAGGAUUCUUUCAACACCGAGACGUGGACUGUCGAGGAUCUUCUGCGAAGAGGAGGACAUUGUUGACAAAGUGCCCCUGCAGAGGCUCCAGCUGUUAGGUCAGUCAAAAGAGCUCCGGGACCUUCUGUGCAACCCCCACCUGAGACAGUUACUGCGCGUCCAUCGACAGCGCAGAC
Etheostoma spectabile (orangethroat darter) is the source of this 200-nucleotide long non-coding RNA. RefSeq lists it as uncharacterized. The record is from RefSeq and is a predicted model, not a curated record. Lineage: Eukaryota; Metazoa; Chordata; Actinopteri; Perciformes; Percidae. The transcript is spliced from 3 exons.